Molecule: long non-coding RNA, 204 nt
Filed under: Solanum tuberosum (potato)
Lineage: Eukaryota; Viridiplantae; Streptophyta; Magnoliopsida; Solanales; Solanaceae
Description: long non-coding RNA (STUB_LNC001167)
Source: RNAcentral
UAUAUAUAUAUAUAACACUUGAGCUACUAACCCGUAUAACAGAACAAAUUGAGAAGAAGCAAAGAUCACCCAGAGCAAUGUAUAAAAAGAGAGAACCAACAACAUUACUGACUUACUUUCUCUUUAACCUCCAAUGCAACAUCUUCCAUGAUUUGUUGUGUUCACAGCCAAUCCAUGAAAUAAAAAUGUCAUAUUCGUUANNNN